This 207-nucleotide long non-coding RNA is filed under the name Ananas comosus (pineapple). RNAcentral describes it as "long non-coding RNA (ACOM_LNC034957)". The record is from RNAcentral. Lineage: Eukaryota; Viridiplantae; Streptophyta; Magnoliopsida; Poales; Bromeliaceae.
AACUACCGUCAUUGUUCAUCAGAAAUUUUGAAUUCAGCUAGAAUGUAAAACAAUUCGGCUUCAAACUUGGAACUCCGAAUACCAAUCAUUAAGUUUUUACUCAGAUACAUUAGGCAUGAUUAUUUUUAGCGUGCAUAUUUUUUACUCUUAUCUUAUUUGUCAAGUCCAUGAGUUUGUUAUAUAUAUUUAUUGUGCACAUGAACAGGU